GGCGCCAGCCAUGGCCUCUGGGGCGGGCGGGAGCUGGGGUCGCUCCCCACCGCAGAGCGCAGUCCCGACGCCCUGGGUCACCGUCCUGCAGCCCCUCUCGUGGACCAUCCCACCUGCGCCCCCGCAGCCAGGCCGCGUGAAGGAAGGUGAGACUCCCGGGUCCCCCCACUCCAUCCCUACCAUCACCACCACUCACCCCCUUCUGCCCCGCACAUCCUCUGGGAGUCCCCACAGCACAACCCGCCAACCCAUUCUUCGCCCCCUGGGACAGGGGUGUCAGGGGGAGGGGGACUCGGAGGCCCGGCGUGGGCUUGAUGAACCCCGCUUCCUAGACCUGCUGGAAUUGAUGAUGCUGCAGAACGCGCAGAUGCACCAGCUGCUGCUGAGUCGCCUGGUGGCUGGAGCGCUGCAGCCCGGGCCCGCCUCGCCCUGCCCUCAGGUCUACCUGGAGGUUCCACAGGAAGAGCCUGAGGAGGAGGAGGAGGAGGAGAUGGACGUGCAGGAGAAAGGGCCUUUGGUGUUUCACCACCACUACUUGCCUUGUUUGAUGCCCUCCCCGGGUGCCCUGCUGCCCUGGCCAGGCCCCUUCUUCCCCACCCCCGCUUGUCAGCCCUACUUGCAGGACGUGCCCACGAUUCAGCACUGUCCUGCCUCCAGGGAAAGGGAGGUGAGAGCUGUGCCCCCACCCCCACCCCCCAGUGCCACAGGGACUGUGGGUGCCGAUGUACCCCCGGCUUCAGACUACUAUGAUGCCGAGAGCCUCCUAUGAGGACAGACCCUGGCCCUGGGAACUGCACCAGCUUCCUGCUCUGGAUACAGCCCUGGAGCCGCCUCCUGCACCUCUCUUGUUGACUCCCCUGUGCCCGUGGCUGGCAGUCCUUCUCACUCCCUCAACCUCAGCCAGGCCCUCUUCUCCUGGGGAAAUCAGUCCCUGCCCCACCCCAGUGAGUUCCUGGAUGGGCCAGAUCUGUGCUGUUGUGUAAGAGCUUCUUAGAGCACACCCCGGCCCUUGAAGCCAUGUCAGCCCACCUCUGCCCCACUGCUUCCUGCCUGGAGCAGGGGGAGGCCUGGGAACAGAGCCCCCCACCCUCUCUCCCUCACCCCUCUCUCUGGGAUGAUGAGGUCUCCUUCCAGCCUAGUAAUGGAGCAAGAGGGGAGUAGAGGGUUCCUUCUGCUUUCCAGAGCUUUGAAGGCCCCUUUGAGGUGGCUGGAAGGGCGCAGAGUGGUGGGGGAGAGGCCUUGCUGGGCAGCGCCCCUGAGCAGAGUCAGUUCCCUGGGCCCCCAACUCUCGUCCCAGGAAGCAGCUCUGUUGGCAGAAAGGAGAGGUCAGAGCUUUGUCCUGCUGUGGCCAGGAGUGGCCUGAGGUCUCCUGGGGGCCAGGUGGGAACAGUGUGUCCUCUGCCCCCUGGGCCAGGGUGUGUUUCCCCCACCCUCCCUCAGUAGGAAUGAGCUACUCAGACCAGAUGGGGGCCUGGCGCCUGGACUGGGAGCCCCCUGUGAAGGAGAGGGUAGGGAGGGAGGCAUCUAGGGAAAGGGGUCCCGCAUGGUGGCCCCCCUCCCUGGCCAUUGUUAUCCCAGGAGGAGACACUGUGGGCACAGGGCUAAGUCCAGGUGUUUGUAUUUGGGCUAGAAAAGGCAAUGUCCCAAGUCUCUGCUGCCUGGUACAGUACUUCAGCCAGGGCUGGACCUCAACCCUGAGGAGUCACACUGAGUUCCAGUGACCACCGUGGUGGUGGCCAUGCCAUUCAUGCGUGCUAUGGCCGGAAGGCCUGGGGCAGCCUCCUCCAAGCCGCUCGCACCCCAUAGGUGCCCGUCCGCCGCUGGCGCCAGUGCUGGCUGAAGAUGAAGCAGAGCAGGACAGAUGUCACGAACAGGAACAGCAACACCGACACCACCGUGACUAUGAUGACCAUCUGGCUGUCCGACACGGGCUCUGGGGAGGGAGGGGGCAAGGGUCUUAGACGUCCUGUGAUCCCAGUUACCAGGGACCAAAAGGGAGUGGAAGUCCACCCCCGACCCAGCCCCCCAGCCCCCGCCGCCCACUCAUGCAUCCUGCAGUCACCCCAGGUUGUAGAGAUGAGUGGUGAAUGGUGUCUGCAUUAAAACUAUUAUCUGGGAAAAA
RNAcentral lists this small RNA (2122 nucleotides) under Pongo abelii (Sumatran orangutan). RNAcentral's name for it is "retained intron". The record is from RNAcentral. Lineage: Eukaryota; Metazoa; Chordata; Mammalia; Primates; Hominidae.